UCUCCCUGCUGCCGCUGCCCGCGGGCUCCCCGCGAGGCGUCGGAGCGCGUAAGCGACGCGGUGCUGCCGUUCCUGGUGCUGCUUUUAGGACAAAAAAAAAAAAAAAAAAAAAAUCGCUUUUUAAUUUUUUUUUCUUUCUUUCUUUCUUGCUUUUGUUUUAUUUUAUUUUAUUUUUCCCUAAUCGUUGCCCUCCUCGCACAAAAGCGCCGCCAGAGCGAUCGUGGCGCCUUGGUUCGCCGCUCUGUAAGGCUCCUCUUUAAAUAAACGCUUCGGCCGAAUCGAAAUGGCAAAAUUAGAUCUUCCGGCGUCUAAUAAAGGCUGAUGAAAUGAA
Molecule: long non-coding RNA, 331 nt
Organism: Lagopus leucura (white-tailed ptarmigan)
Lineage: Eukaryota; Metazoa; Chordata; Aves; Galliformes; Phasianidae
Exons: 2
Source: RefSeq, a predicted model, not a curated record